AUUGAACGCUGGAGGCAGGCCUAACACAUGCAAGUCGAACGAGUGGCGGACGGGUGAGUAAUGUCUGGGAAACUGCCCGAUGGAGGGGGAUAACUACUGGAAACGGUAGCUAAUACCGCCUACCAUCGGAUGUGCCCAGAUGGGAUUAGCUAGUAGGUCGGGUAACGGCUCAGCUAGGCGACGAUCCCUAGCUGGUCUGAGAGGAUGACCAGCCACACUGGAACUGAGGGACGGUCCAUACUCCUACGGGAGGCAGCAGUGGGGAAUAUUGCACAAUGGGGGCAAGCUUGAUGCAGCCAUGCCGCGUGUAUGAAGAAGGCCUUCGGGUUGUAAAGUACUUUCAGCGAGGAGGCGUUACUCGCAGAAGAAGCACCGGCUAACUCCGUGCCAGCAGCCGCGGUAAUAC
Molecule: ribosomal RNA, 406 nt
Filed under: uncultured bacterium
Lineage: Bacteria
Description: partial 16S ribosomal RNA
Rfam family: Bacterial small subunit ribosomal RNA
Source: RNAcentral